This is a long non-coding RNA of Sardina pilchardus (European sardine), 766 nucleotides long. RefSeq lists it as uncharacterized. The transcript is spliced from 3 exons. NCBI's taxonomy places the organism in Eukaryota, Metazoa, Chordata, Actinopteri, Clupeiformes, Clupeidae. The record is from RefSeq and is a predicted model, not a curated record.
CACUGAGGGUAUUUAUAUUUUGGGAGAGAUUUAUCAUUGUGGUGUGUGCAGUCCUUUCAUUAAAUUCUCAGCAGUAAGUGGUCUUAACCUCAGCGUAUGUAAACAGCCCCUCCUCUCACACCCAGAAUGCAUCUCUUUCCUAGGCACGGGGUGGGCCGCAACGCUUCACCAUAUCAACAUGGCUGCAGAUCCAAGGUCUCCGUCUCUCUGAUGCUGGCAGUUACUCUUGCAUCUCUCAGAAUGCACUGGGGAACGCUUCAGCCUCAGCUCAGCUUCAAGUGCUUAGGAAAGUUUCCCAGAGAUAAGGAAGAGUGAUGGUGACUUGGAUGACCAUGGUGACCCAGAGAAGGACUAUCAGCAAUGCAGAUGAUGAAGAUGAGGACCUGCCUGUAUCAGGGGAUUACUUCAAAUGGAGCAUUAAAAGAAUGCAAGGGAGAGGAUGACUGUAUAGAUUAGCAUUACUGUAGGACAGAAAUAUGCAAUAGGUUCAGAAUAUAUAUGGGCAUGUUCCCCAUGUUAAGCUAAUCAACUUGGUAUGCAUGAACCUCCCAGAUGAAUCAUUGCUUUUCACCAUGUAUUUUAGAGAUGGUCAAUUACUCGCAAAUACAACAGUUUAGAGAACAUGUUUGGAGAUAUUCCCAUAAGCCUACACAUCGAAAUAAGAAGAAACCCACAUCUGAUCAAAUGAAAGGAGCAAUGCCUGGUCAGCCUGUAAAUGAAAUGAACCUCCUGCCAGUAGAAGCAGCGAUUAAAUGGCUCUGUUUGA